This 401-nucleotide ribosomal RNA is filed under the name uncultured bacterium. RNAcentral's name for it is "bacterial SSU rRNA". It matches the Rfam family "Bacterial small subunit ribosomal RNA", at positions 355 to 773 of the family's 1533-position model. The record is from RNAcentral.
UGGGGAAUAUUGCACAAUGGGCGAAAGCCUGAUGCAGCAACGCCUCGUGAGUGAUGAAGGCCUUCGGGUUGUAAAGCUCUGUCUUCUGGGACGAUAAUGACGGUACCAGAGGAGGAAGCCACGGCUAACUACGUGCCAGCAGCCGCGGUAAUACGUAGGUGGCAAGCGUUGUCCGGAUUUACUGGGCGUAAAGGAUGCGUAGGCGGAUACUUAAGUCAGAUGUGAAAAUCCCGGGCUUAACUUGGGAACUGCAUUUGAAACUGGGUAUCUAGAGUGCGGGAGAGGAAAGUGGAAUUCCUAGUGUAGCGGUGAAAUGCGUAGAGAUUAGGAAGAACACCAGUGGCGAAGGCGACUUUCUGGACCAUCACUGACGCUGAGGCACGAAAGCGUGGGUAGCAAAC